This 10958-nucleotide long non-coding RNA is filed under the name Brassica napus (rape). RNAcentral describes it as "long non-coding RNA (BNAP_LNC016834)". Lineage: Eukaryota; Viridiplantae; Streptophyta; Magnoliopsida; Brassicales; Brassicaceae. The record is from RNAcentral.
CGCCGGUGAUUGGAUGGUCACUCUACACUCUGAAGACCACUGGUUGCGGUUUACCUCCAGGACCGGCCGGUUCAAUCGGAGCGUUGGAAGGUGUGAGCUACUUGGUGGUGUUGGGCAUCGUGGGCUGGUCUCUGUACACCAAGACCAAAACCGGCUCGGGUCUGCCAAAUGGGCCGUUUGGUUUGUUGGGCGCGGUCGAGGGCUUGUCUUACCUGUCGCUUCUAGCCAUUCUUGUGGUAUUCGGUUUACAGUUUUUGGAUAACGGGUUGGUUCCUGGUCCACUUCCAAGUGACCAGUGUUUUGGCUAACCAAUCACUCUAUCAUCAUUCUUCACUUGUAAUGUCUUUUUGCUGGUCCAUUUCCAAGUGACCAGUGUUUUGGCUAACCAAUCACUCUAUCAUCAUUCUUCACUUGUAAUGUCUUUUUGCUGGUCCAUUUCCAAGUGACCAGUGUUUUGGCUAACCAAUCACUCUAUCAUCAUUCUUCACUUGUAAUGUCCUAUACCAAACCUGUGUCAAUUAAUAAUAACUUUCUAUCAAUCACAUAAUUUUUUCUAGAAAAAUAGCAGAAAUUAUAGAUGAUAUUCAAUUUCUUAUAGAUGAAGCGAUGUAAAAUAUCUCGUUUUUUACUAGUCGAUUAAUUUCUUACAAACCAAACUGAACCGAGAUCUGGUCUAAUCUAAACAUCUAAUUCUAGUUAAUGCUUAUUGGGUUGACGGCAAAUGGCGGAGCAGAUCCAAAGUUGCCAAGAUGGGCUUCUAUAUUGGCCCAUUUAGAUGGCAAAGUAAAUUUAAAAGCGCGGGAAAAUGAUAAAAGCUUUUCUCUCUCUCUUUAGUCCCCCACUCUCUUUCCUGCAUCCACGAAGCUCCACCUGCGAGAAACCCUAAUUUAUUCUCAGAACGAGAUCGCCUUCGAAGCUUCUCCCGUGGCAAGAAAGCUCCAAAUUAGGAGUCUCCGUGUCUCGUAAUUUACUAAUCGCCGCUCCUCAGGCAAAAAAAUGAGCGGAGAUAAUCGAAGAUGGGAUCGAAAGGACUCGCGGAGAUCGAAUACGCAGAAAGUCGUGAAAACGGCGGAAGAUGAGCUCGAAUCUAAACUCGGAUUUGGGCUUUUCUCCGAAGGGGAAACGCGCCUCGGGUGGCUACUCACCUUCGCAUCAGUAAGUCUCCGUCGCACUCUUUUACGAACUCAAUUUGGUUAUCGAGCGUAUGGCCUUUGAUCGUAUUAGUACUAGUCAUUCACCGAUUGGUUGUUCCACUACGUUUUGCAGUCAUCUUGGGAAGAUCCCGAUACUGGGAAAACCUAUAGCUGUGUGGAUCUUUACUUUGUUACUCAGGUGAGAGCUGUUUUUAGUCAUUACUCUAUUAGCUUCGUAUAAGCUGAUGAAUCUUCUUUUGUCGCAUUUUUUUUUAUCUAUUUCGAUUGAGUUGUGAGGAUUUGUUUUUUUUUUUUUUUCAGGACGGGUUUUAUUUCAAGACAAAGUACAAGUUCCGCCCUUACUUCUAUGCGGCUACGAAAGUAUGAAGAUUUCUCUUUGUAUAUCAUCUGAAUGCUCCUUGAACCAGUCACGUAGUUUUGUUCUGGAUGUUAAUAAAACUGCAUUUGCGAAAUUACAGGAGAAAAUGGAAUUGGAAGUUGAAGCGUACUUGAGACGGCGAUAUGAAAGACAAGUUGCUGAUAUUGAGAUUGUUGAAAAAGAGGAUCUUGAUCUUGUAAGUCCGUAAAUCCUUACUUGUUAAUGUGAUUUAGUUAGUCUACCUAAUGAUUCGUAUUUCUCUUUAGAGACGCAUAUUUAAACAAAAGUUGCUGCAAUCUUUAGUUUUUAUCCUCUUCUUGUAACUUGAAAAGUGAAAACUGAGUAAGUAUCGUGAUAAGUUUAAAUGUGAUCCUGCAUUCAUAUUCGGAAAUCUCUAGGUGUUUGCGAGUAUGUAACGUGGGCUGGAACUGUUAAUGUUAGUUAUUUUAAAUGUUUAAUGAUCAGUUACAACAGUAUGCAAGAUAUGAAGGUUUUCAUGACUUCUAUAUAGUCUUCCUUCCGCUUAGUUUGUCUUUCUAACUUUUGUUUAUUACCUACCAAUUCGAGUUUAUUUUUUCUUAUGCUCAUGAGCAGAAAAAUCAUCUAUCUGGCCUGCGAAAGAAAUACCUAAAAGUAUCAUUUGAUACUGUGCAACAAUUGAUGGAAGUCAAGAGGGAUCUGUCGCAUAUUGUCGAACGAAACCAGGCAAAAUUCGACGCACUUGAAGCAUACGAAUCCGUUUUGGCUGGAAAACGGUAAGACGAUGUAUUUUUGUUGUUUUAAACUGCGUAUCUUUCCGAGGUUUCAAAUUGUUCCUCUUGAUCUCUCUUGUUUCUUAGUUAUUCUCAAGUUUCAGAUACCGGUGGUCACUUUUCUUUUUAUUCUUGGAAUGCAGAGAACAACGUCUUCAAGAUUGCUUAGACUCUUUAGUGGACCUCCGCGAGUACGAUGUUCCUUAUCAUGUUCGAUUUGCAGUUGAUAAAGGUAACAUAUUUAGUCAAAAUUAAAUUUCUGUUAGUCCUAAAGAUUGCCAAAACAUGACGUGUUCUUGGUGUCUAGAUGUGCGGAGUGGGCAAUGGUACAAUGUCAGUAUUUCCAGCACUGAUGUCACACUAGAGAAGAGGACAGAUAUUCUCCAGCGUGCAGAAGUCCGUGUUUGUGCAUUCGAUAUAGAGACAACGAAGCUUGAGUUGAAAUUUCCGGAUGCUGAAUAUGAUCAAAUUAUGAUGAUAUCUUACAUGGUCGAUGGGCAAGGUUUUCUAAUUGUUAACCGAGAGGUAAAUGCUAUGUACAUUUUUCUGUAUUGAAUAUAAUUUAAUAGAUGAUAAUAUCAUAUAUGAUGUAUGAGCAUGAUCUCCAAAUCAUUAAAAGAGAUGAUAGCCCUCUUUAUCAUCUUUUAUAUUAUGUCAAGCAAUCAGUAGAGGAAAAGUUCAUAAACGCAGUGUUUCUUUAGAGAUUGAGUCAAUCCUGGGGAUAUCAUAAAUGAUCCAUAUAAACUUAUACUGCUUUGCCUGACUGAUUUUGGAUGAUGUGGCAUAAAGAUUGUUUGUGGUCUACUGUAGCCUUUUCGUAUGUUUAUGAAACAUGAUUUCUGAUUUGUUAUAAAAAUUUCGUUGCAUGUCAUUGUCAACUCUGGUUGAUAUCUCAGCUCUAUUUUACUAUAAAAAUUUGGACUACUCCAAUCUUCUUUGAUUACACACGUAGUAUUUUUCAUUUUAAACCAGUGUGUUGGCGAAGACAUAGAAGAUCUGGAGUAUACACCCAAACCAGAGUUUGAAGGAUAUUUCAAAGUCACUAACGUUAGCAACGAGGUAAAUUAGGUCUGAUUUGAGUAUUAUAUCAGAAACAUUGAUAUACUUAGAAUCAAGUUUCUUUCUUGGUUUUGUAUUGUAGGUUGAUCUCCUUCGAAAAUGGUUUUCCCAUAUGCAAGAGGUUAAACCCGGUAUUUAUGUUACAUAUAACGGUGAUUUUUUCGACUGGCCAUUUAUAGAACGGAGAGCAUCCCAUCAUGAGAUCAAAAUGAAUGAGGUAAGCAACACGUUUCCUUCAAUGUGGUAUUGUUAAAAUUUCAUGCCUGCGUGACUUAAAGGAAGUAUAUGAUAUACUUAGAAAUUCUGUUUGAAAAAGUUUGUGGCAGUUUUGCUGACAUGCUAUUGUGACCUUGCGAGUGUUCUUUUGCUUAAUGAUAGAACAGUAUCACUGCUUAAGAUCUUCCUACAUCCUCGCUUGCAUGCCUACUUUCUACAUAUUGUUUGUCACCUUCCGUGAAUAUAAUAUUCAUCUUGAGUGACAUGUUUUUGCGUUUAAACACUGAAGUCUUCUGGGAGUUGGCAGGUGCCACUCAUCCUGAACCUUGGUUCUGUUCUGAACUCUAUUUCAAAAACACGCGUCACUCUUUUUUCUCUCUUUUUAUUCUCUGCAUCUUACUAUUUAGUUCCUAUCUCACUAUUUAGUUCCUAUCUUAACUUUAGAGCAUAAUGUGGCCUCAAGUAUGAUUCCACAAUUGACUGGUAUAUUUUGUUUUCUUUCCCCAUGGUUGCAGGAGUUGGGAUUCCGUUGUGAUCAUAAUCAAGGUGAAUGUCGAGCUAAAUUCGUUUGCCAUUUAGAUUGUUUUGCUUGGGUGAAACGGGAUAGCUAUCUUCCUCAGGGAAGCCAUGGUCUGAAGGUUCAUUUGACUUCUCUCUCUUCGCUAUUGUUUAUCCUUUUCUUAUAUGUCCCUUUUUAGAGGAAUUCAUAUUAUGUUUUUAGUAAUGUUCGUCUCUUAAUUAAAUGCCAGGCCGUUACGAAGGCGAAACUGGGCUAUGAUCCACUGGAAGUGAACCCAGAAGACAUGGUUCAGUUUGCCAUGGAAAAACCACAGGUACUGCUGAUAAGUUAAUCAGGGUUCUCAAGAACUGGAGUAGUAGUUUGAUUGCUUUGGAAUGGGGUAGAGUACGACGGUAUUUGAUCUAGUAAUUAGUGUCUCUUUAAGGGCUGAAGAAAUGUUCUCCUGCUCCUGUUAAACACUAUCUCUUAUCAGUACGCAAAAUUUAGGAGCGAACAUGGAUGUUGUGACUGAUAACUUCCAGCAAUUGUGGACUUUUAGUCUAUGCAGUGCUUGCGUGGAAUUGGGUGCUUAUAUCUUAUUUCUGUUACAUGUUGCAGACAAUGGCCUCCUAUUCUGUCUCUGAUGCUGUUGCAACUUAUUACCUAUACAUGACAUAUGUUCACCCGUUCAUUUUCUCUCUCGCAACUAUCAUCCCUAUGGUCCCUGAUGAGGUCUUACGUAAAGGAAGUGGAACCCUUUGUGAAAUGCUUCUGAUGGUUGAGGUGACUUCCAUUUACUACAAGGUCUUUAGCAAUUUUUGAUGUAUGACACAUUCUAGUAAUUGGACGUCUUCCAUUCUUUGUACAGGCGUAUAACGCAAAUGUUAUAUGUCCCAAUAAAAACCAAGCUGACCCUGAGAAGUUCCACAAAAGUCACCUUCUUGAAAGUGAGACAUAUAUUGGUGGCCAUGUAGAGUGCCUCGAAAGUGGUGUUUUCCGAUCUGACAUUCCAACCGGUUUUAAGCUAGACACAUCGGCAUACCAGGCUAGUAAUCUGCUUUACUUGACUCAAUAUGAUUUUUCUUGUUGUUUUCUGAACAUUACUUCUUCUGAUAUGGUUCUGUUCAAAUGUCACUUAUUUAUGCACCUAUCUGAUAUUGGACCAUUUAAUUGCCAGCAACUGAUCAAUAACCUUGACCGGGAUCUGGAGUAUGCUAUCACUGUAGAAGGGAAAAUGAGAAUGGAUUCAGUUUCCAAUUAUGAUGAAGUGAAGGAAAAAAUCAAGGAAAAGGUAAUAGAUUCCUCUUCUGAAUUAUAGAUAGUGAUUUGACGCCUAUUCCAUAUUCCCUUGUUUCUUGUCAGCGUGUGUUUUCUCUUGUCUCUUUGAAUGGCUGACACUGCAUACACAUUUCAUUCUGGGAGAGUUUUCCUUUGCAUUCUCAUACAUGCUAAGCUCAUAUCGACGAUCCUUCUCUCGUGUAAAGUAACCCCAAUAGUUCUUCUGGAAAGAACAAAGUUAACCUGCGGAGAUAGUCCAUCAAAUACCCUCCAUUUACAGUAGUUGUCACCAACUACGCACAUACAUGCGUGGGUUUCGGAAAGCAGAACAUAAAACCUGAUAAUUUAAUACAUUAUUUCCCUGUACUACCUGAUUUGGGAUGUCCUCUUAGUUCUGUUAUGAUUUGGCGGUUUUAUUUCCCUGCAGCUGGAAAAGUUACGAGAUUGCCCUAUACGUGAAGAGGGACCUCUUAUUUAUCACCUUGAUGUUGCAGCGAUGUAUCCAAAUAUCAUCUUAACAAAUAGGCUUCAGGUACAUCAAAUAACCUUUUGCAUGUUUCUAACUGAUUUCUUGAUUUUAUGAUGUAACAUGCAUUGUAAAUCAAUAUCUACCAAAUUAACACAACCGUCACUGUCAAGAUUAUGAAUCCCGUGGGAAUAUUAUGCUAAGUGGAAAUUUCCUCUUCAUUGCCAGCCACCAUCAAUAGUUACGAAUGAAAUUUGCACCGCAUGUGAUUUCAACCGCCCGGGAAAAACGUGUCUUCGAAAACUUGAAUGGGUUUGGCGUGGGGUGACAUUCAUGGCAAAGAAAAGGUUUUAACUUAUAUAUCAUUCUUUUUAAAUAUGAAGGGUCUAGUCUUAAAUUCUCAACUUUUUACGAAUGGCUUGACAGUGAUUAUUACCAUCUGAAGAAGCAGAUUGAGUCCGAAUUUGUUGAUACUGGUGCAAAUAUUCAGUCUUCAAAAUCUUUCCUUGAUCUACCAAAGGUGGAACAACAAUCUAAACUAAAAGAUAGACUGAAAAAAUAUUGUCAAAAGGUAUUCUCUCUCUUUCUCUUGAUAAUAUUUUCUCCACAAUGUCAAUAUAUAAAGGCAAGUCGUUUUGUGCUAUGAUAGGCAUAUCGACGAGUACUUGACAAGCCAGACACUGAAGUUCGUGAGGCUGGGAUAUGCAUGAGAGAAAAUCCGUUUUAUGUAGACACUGUUCGAAGGUGCGGAACUUUUGUUUUCCCCAAUCCUGUUCUUGAUUGAAACUCUGUUAGGACUAGCUUGUCUUUUUGAGCAGCAAUCUUUUUGGUUGAAUAGACAAUGAUGUAAAUUCUGCCAAGUCCUAAAUACUUUUCCUUGUUGCUUUUUGUUUAUGGUGUUUGUAUGUAAUUAAAGCUUUCGAGAUAGGAGGUAUGAAUACAAAACACUUAACAAGGUCUGGAAGGGAAAGUUAUCAGAGGCCAAGGCAAGUGGCAAUUCAAUCAAGAUCCAGGAAGCACAGGUAUAUUAUCUUACAUAAUUGAUCAUAUAUAUCAUCUCCGGAAGUUCCUUUGGAUAGUUAUUGGCUUUAAAAUUUUGCUACAGGACAUGGUAGUGGUUUACGAUUCCUUGCAGCUAGCUCAUAAGUGUAUUCUUAAUUCCUUCUAUGGAUAUGUCAUGCGAAAGUGAGUUCUCUGAUCUCUUGCAAAGAGCUUGCACUUUGGCUAUACCCUUAUUGUCUGUUCCAUUUUGGUUGACCCAAAUCUCUACAUGAAACCAAUUCCAGGGGUGCAAGAUGGUACUCUAUGGAAAUGGCUGGUGUAGUUACCUAUUCUGGAGCCAAAAUCAUCCAGAAUGCCCGUUUGCUUAUUGAGCGUAUUGGGAGACCACUUGAGUUGGAUACAGAUGGUAUAUGGUGUGCUCUCCCUGGAUCUUUUCCUGAGAACUUUACUUUUAAGACGAUGUAAGAUUUUGCAAUCUCCAUAUCAGGAACUUGUUCUAUUUUUUUUUACUUUAUAGCAGUAUUUUGGUGGUUUACGAUAUUCCAAAGAGAGUUAUAUAUCAGUGAUUUUUGUCUACUGCAGAGACAUGAAGAAAUUCACGAUCUCUUAUCCGUGUGUAAUGCUUAAUGUUGAUGUGGCUAAAAAUAAUACAAAUGAUCAAUAUCAGGUAUACCGGAGCUGCCCUUACUGAAAAGUAGCUUUUGUGUUCAGUCUUAACUUAGUUUGUCUUUCUAACUUUUGUUUAUUACCUACCAAUUCGAGUUUAUUUUUUCUUAUGCUCAUGAGCAGAAAAAUCAUCUAUCUGGCCUGCGAAAGAAAUACCUAAAAGUAUCAUUUGAUACUGUGCAACAAUUGAUGGAAGUCAAAAGGGAUCUGUCGCAUGUUGUCGAACGAAACCAGGCAAAAUUUGACGCACUUGAAGCAUAUGAAUCCAUUUUGGCUGGAAAACGGUAAGACGAUGUAUUUUUGUUGUUUUAAACUGCGUAUGUUUCCGAGGUUUCAAAUUGUUCCUCUUGAUCUCUCUUGUUUUUUAGUUAUUCUCAAGUUUCAGGUACCGGUGCUCACUUUUCUUUUUAUUCUUGGAAUGCAGAGAACAACGUCUUCAAGAUUGCUUAGACUCUUUAGUGGACCUCCGCGAGUACGAUGUUCCUUAUCAUGUUCGAUUUGCAGUUGAUAAAGGUAACAUAUUUAGUCAAAAUUAAAUUUUUGUUAGUCCUAAAGAUUGUCAAAACAUGACGUUUUCUUGGUGUCUAGAUGUGCGGAGUGGGCAAUGGUACAAUGUCAGUAUUUCCAGCACUGAUGUCACACUAGAGAAGAGGACAGAUAUUCUCCAGCGUGCAGAAGUCCGUGUUUGUGCAUUCGAUAUAGAGACAACAAAGCUUGAGUUGAAAUUUCCGGAUGCUGAAUAUGAUCAAAUUAUGAUGAUAUCUUACAUGGUCGAUGGGCAAGGUUUUCUAAUUGUUAACAGAGAGGUAAUACUAUGUACAUUUUUCUGUAUUGAAUAUGAUUUAAUAGAUGAUAAUAUCAUACAUGAUGUAUGAGCAUGAUCUCCAAAUCAUUAAAAGAGAUGAUAGCCCUGCUUUAUCAUCUUUUAGAUUAUGUCAAGCAAUCAGUUGAGGAAAAGCUCAUAAAUGCAGUGUUUCUUUAAAGAUUAAGUCAAUCCUGGGGAUAUCAUAAAUGAUCCAUAUAAACUUAUACUGCUUUGCCUGACUGAUUUUGUAUGAUGUGGCAUAAAGAUUGUUUGUGGUCUACUGUAGCCUUUUUCUGUAUGUUUAUAAAACAUGAUUUCUGAUUUGUUAUAAAUAUUUCAUUGCAUGUCAUUGUCAACUCUGGUUGAUAUCUCAGCUCUAUUUCCGUAUAAAAAUUUGGACUACUUCAAUCUUCUUUGAUUACACGUAGUAUUUUUCAUUUUAAACCAGUGUGUUGGCGAAGACAUAGAAGAUCUGGAGUAUACACCCAAACCAGAGUUUGAAGGAUAUUUCAACGUUACUAACGUUAGCAACGAGGUAAAUUAAGUCUGGAUUUGAGUAAUAUAUCAGAAACAUUGAUGUACAAGAAUCAAGCUUCUUUCUUGGUUUUGUAUUGUAGGUUGAACUCCUUCGAAAAUGGUUUUCCCAUAUGCAAGAGGUUAAACCCGGUAUUUAUGUUACAUAUAACGGUGAUUUUUUCGACUGGCCAUUCAUAGAACGCAGAGCAUCCCAUCAUGAGAUCAAAAUGAAUGAGGUAAGCAACACGUUUCCUUCAUUGUGGUAUCGUUAAAAUUUCAUGUCUGCGUGACAUUAAGGAAGUAUAUGAUAUACUUAUUGAAAUUCUGUUUGAAAAAGUUUGUGACAGUUUUGCUGACAUGCUAUUGUGACCUUGCGAGUGUUCUUUUGCUUAAUGAUAGAACAGUAUCACUGCUUAAGAUCUUCCUACAUCCUCGCCUGCAUGCCUAUUUUCUACAUAUUGUUUGUCAUCUUCCGUGAAUAUAAUAUUCAUCUUGAGUGACAUGUUUUUGCGUUUAAACACUGAAGUCUUCUGAGAGUUGGCAGGUGCCACUCAUCCUGAACCUUGGUUCUUUUCUGAACUCUAUUUCAAAAACAUGCAUCACUCUUUUUUCUCUCUUUUUAUUCUCUGCAUCUUACUAUUUGGUUUCUAUCUUAUUCUUAACUUUGACUGGUAUAUUUUGUUUUCUUUCCCCAUGGUUUCAGGAGUUGGGAUUCCGUUGUGAUCAUAAUCAAGGUGAAUGUCGAGCUAAAUUCGUUUGCCAUUUAGAUUGUUUUGCUUGGGUGAAACGGGAUAGCUAUCUUCCUCAGGGAAGCCAUGGUCUGAAGGUUCAUUUGACUUCUCUCUCUUCGCUAUUGUUUAUCCUUUUCUUAUAUGUCCCUUUUUAGAGGAAUUCAUAUUAUGUUUUGAGUAAUGCUCGUCUCUUAAUUGAAUGCCAGGCCGUUACAAAGGCGAAACUGGGCUAUGAUCCACUGGAAGUGAACCCAGAAGACAUGGUUCAGUUUGCCAUGGAAAAACCACAGGUACUGCUGAUAAAUUAAUCAGGGUUCUUAAGAACUGGAGUAGUAGUUUGAUUGCUUUGGAAUAGGGUAGAGUAUGACGAUAUUUGUUCUAGUAAUUAGUGUCUCUUUAAGGGAUGAAGAAAUGUUCUCCUGCUCCUGUUAAACACUAUCUCUUAUCAGUACGCAAAAUUUAGGAGCGAACAUGGAUGUUGUGACUGAUAACUUCCAGCAAUUGUGGACUUUUAGUCUAUGCAGUGCUUGCGUGGAAUUGGGUGCUUAUAUCUUAUUUCUGUUACAUGUUGCAGACAAUGGCCUCCUAUUCUGUCUCUGAUGCUGUUGCAACUUAUUACCUAUACAUGACAUAUGUUCACCCGUUCAUUUUCUCUCUCGCAACUAUCAUCCCAAUGGUCCCUGAUGAGGUCUUACGUAAAGGAAGUGGAACCCUUUGUGAAAUGCUUCUGAUGGUUGAGGUGACUUACAUUUACUACAAGGUCUUUAGCAAUCUGAUAAUUGGUUAAUGGUUUGCUUAGGAUUUCGUAACGUGCGAUGCAUUUUAGAUCAAACGGUCGUCAAGGCGUCAAGGCUUGUUAAAAAGCUUAUCCAGAAGUUUUGUUAUUUCCACACCAUACCAAAAUUUUGUGGUAACGAGUGACAAUAUUUCUCUCACUUCUCUCUCCUAAAAUGCUUCUACUAUCUCCGAUCAACGCCUCUCGACCACCGACGUUUCACCGGGGAACACUGAUCCGACAACCCAUUAAGACUUCAUGUAGGAUCAUAGCAAAGGCCAAGGACAACACCGAGUCUGGCGGGUUUCUUGAGAAUGCGGCUAUAGCCGGUGGUUUAGUAUCUACGCCGGUGAUUGGAUGGUCACUCUACACUCUGAAGACCACUGGUUGCGGUUUACCUCCAGGACCGGCCGGUUCAAUCGGAGCGUUGGAAGGUGUGAGCUACUUGGUGGUGUUGGGCAUCGUGGGCUGGUCUCUGUACACCAAGAUCAAAACCGGGUCGGGUCUGCCGAAUGGGCCGUUUGGUUUGCUUGGUGCGGUCGAGGGCUUGUCUUACCUGUCGCUUCUAGCCAUUCUUGUGGUGUUCGGUUUACAGUUCUUGGAUAACGGGUCUGUUCCUGGUCCACUUCCAAGUGACCAGUGUUUUGGCUAACCAAUCACUCUAUCAUCAUUCUUCACUUG